This 70-nucleotide transfer RNA is filed under the name Ictidomys tridecemlineatus (thirteen-lined ground squirrel). Its description in RNAcentral is "Spermophilus tridecemlineatus (thirteen-lined ground squirrel) tRNA". It matches the Rfam family "tRNA". Rfam says of the family: Transfer RNA (tRNA) molecules are approximately 80 nucleotides in length. Their secondary structure includes four short double-helical elements and three loops (D, anti-codon, and T loops). Further hydrogen bonds mediate the characteristic L-shaped molecular structure. tRNAs have two regions of fundamental functional importance: the anti-codon, which is responsible for specific mRNA codon recognition, and the 3' end, to which the tRNAs corresponding amino acid is attached (by aminoacyl-tRNA synthetases). tRNAs cope with the degeneracy of the genetic code in two manners: having more than one tRNA (with a specific anti-codon) for a particular amino acid; and 'wobble' base-pairing, i.e. permitting non-standard base-pairing at the 3rd anti-codon position. RNAcentral also lists the same sequence under 1 other name. Lineage: Eukaryota; Metazoa; Chordata; Mammalia; Rodentia; Sciuridae. The record is from Rfam by way of RNAcentral.
AGGGAUGUAGCUUAAUGGUGGAGUGCUUGCCUAGUACUCAAAAGCUCUGGGUUUAAUCCCCAGCACACUA